RNAcentral lists this long non-coding RNA (936 nucleotides) under Nicotiana tabacum (common tobacco). Its description in RNAcentral is "long non-coding RNA (NTAB_LNC010598)". The record is from RNAcentral. Lineage: Eukaryota; Viridiplantae; Streptophyta; Magnoliopsida; Solanales; Solanaceae.
AGAGUGUAAAAACAACAAUUGUUGAUCAGCUGAAAAUGGAAAGACCCGAGUUUAUCAUAACCAAGACCCCAUUUCUCCAAUUUUUCCUUCUCCAAAAAUAAAAAUCCAACCACCCCUUCACCACCACCACCCAUCAUCCCCAUUAAUAGAAAAGUAACAUCAUUUAAGAUUACACAGAAUAAAACCAGAAAUUAAGUAAAACAGAAAAAAGGGGAAAUUUCUCCAAACCUAAAACGUUAAGAAGAAAAAUGAGGAGGUGGAGGUAACAAUUGAUGUGCUGGCUGAUGAACCUGAUUAGGAAGUGGCAUCAUAUUACCGGUGGUGGUGGCGGCUGGGCUAUUCUGGGUAAUAAAUGGAUGACGCAACAGCUGCACCGCCGUCCACCGUCGUGCAGGAUCCCUCUGCAAACAGCAAGCAAUAAAGUCCCUGAACUCUCUAGAAGCAUUCGCCGGAGCCUCCGGCGGCUGCGACAUACAAAUGGCGCACAUAAGACUAGCCCAAUCACCUGACCUCCCAACAGAAAACGGAAACCUUCCCAAAUAAAACUCCAAUAUGCUAACACCAAGACUCCAUAUAUCUCCAGCAUACCCAUCGUACUGUCCAUGAUUCAGAUCUGUGUUGAUUCUCUCUGGACUCAUAUAGGCAAUUGUCCCAACUGACGAAUUACAAGGAUCCAUAGUUUGUGCCAGCACUCUCGACACCCCAAAGUCAGCAAUUUUCACCUCGCGCCUCGAGUUGAUUAGUAAAUUCGAGGGCUUGAUAUCUCUGUGCACAAUCUUACGCCUGUGGAGAUAAUAGAGACCCGAGAGGACUUGUCGGGUUAGAUCCGAAAGAGCUGACUCUUUAGGGAUGUGGAUCCCUUCGAGAGAGCCUUUAUCCAUGAAUUCAAGGAGGACUUGGAUUUCACCGUUGUGAUCGAACAUAUCGUGACAUCUA